UAGGGAAUCUUCGGCAAUGGGGGGAACCCUGACCGAGCAACGCCGCGUGAGUGAAGAAGGUUUUCGGAUCGUAAAGCUCUGUUGUUAAGGAAGAACGAGUGUGAGAAUGGAAAGUUCAUGCUGUGACGGUACUUAACCAGAAAGGGACGGCUAACUACGUGCCAGCAGCCGCGGUAAUACGUAGGUCCCGAGCGUUGUCCGGAUUUAUUGGGCGUAAAGCGAGCGCAGGCGGUUAGAAAAGUCUGAAGUGAAAGGCAGUGGCUCAACCAUUGUAGGCUUUGGAAACUGUUUAACUUGAGUGCAGAAGGGGAGAGUGGAAUUCCAUGUGUAGCGGUAAAAUGCGUAGAUAUAUGGAGGAACACCGGUGGCGAAAGCGGCUCUCUGGUCUGUAACUGACGCUGAGGCUCGAAAGCGUGGGGAGCGAACAGG
Molecule: ribosomal RNA, 429 nt
Filed under: Bacteroidota bacterium
Lineage: Bacteria; Pseudomonadati; Bacteroidota
Also listed under: 1 other name
Description: Bacteroidetes bacterium partial 16S ribosomal RNA
Rfam family: Bacterial small subunit ribosomal RNA
Source: RNAcentral